RNAcentral lists this long non-coding RNA (1163 nucleotides) under Betta splendens (Siamese fighting fish). Its description in RNAcentral is "lncRNA (ENSBSLG00000005651.1)". Lineage: Eukaryota; Metazoa; Chordata; Actinopteri; Anabantiformes; Osphronemidae. The record is from RNAcentral.
CUAUAAACUACCAUGAAACAUUGUGAAUCUCUACUGACCCUGGUUUGCAUCACAUUACUUCCCGCAGCCUCAGAGGCCUCGCCUGUGACUGGACACGUUGGAGGUGAUGUCAUCCUGCCAUGUGAGAAGGAGGAUCCAAAUAUCAAAAUCAGUCAAGUUCAGUGGGAUCACAUGAAUCCAAAAUCGAAUCACAGCUACAGAAUUUUAGUUUUUAAUCCCAAUCUUGGACUGAACAUUUCUAAAUCACCUCUGAGGGACAGGGUGGAGAUCAGUGGAUUUUCACUCAGGAUUAAAAAUGUCACAAUGACGGAUGAAGGCACCUACACCUGCAGAGUUACAGCCUAUCCUACUGGUGUCUUUCACAGAACGAUCAACCUCAUUGUUCGAGCUCAGAGCUUCCAGCCGUCGUCAGCCGUGAUCCACUCGACGGUCGCUGUGGUGCUGCUGGUAGCGGUCCUGGCAGCCAUAGCUUACCUCACCUUCAUCAGAUGUGGUUCCUCAGUCAGACGUUGCGCCGCUAAUCCCAGGAGUGCGGCCGUGGACGCCCCCAGGCGCGAGGACGUGGUUUACUCUCAAGUCAAGCUGAAAACUCCCAGAGGUUCCGCAUCUCCAUCCAGACACCAACACGCAGGCGCCGUGAGCCAGGACGUCACCUACGCAGGGCUCGUGUUUCAGCACCAGCGGCCCACGUAGCUGCAACAACACUGUGUUACACAGAAGGUCCAUGGUCCGACCGCGGCUCUGUUAAGUGUCAGGUUCAAACCUGAGGGUUCUGCUGUCAUGGACCUGCUUGAGAACAACAGCUCAGGGAGCCAGUUUCAGGGAACUGUUUAAGUCCAGUUGUGACCGGGUCUUUCGUACCCCAUACGUUCCUGCGUUGGGCCCGUUUUGCAGCGUGUGGCUGGUCACUGCUGAUGUCUGCCCUCUGUCCAUACUGUAGUAACGAUGCAUAUCAUUACUGGUAGCUGCUAAUAGUCACUGUCUGACAGCAUUUUCUGGAAGCGAUCGUGGGUGGUGUUGUCUUUUAUUAGCUUUUUGUGUUUUUCCUUUAAAUUCAGCUUGUUUAAAAGUUCACAGUGAACCUUAAUGGUUGAUGAAGAAAUGUGGGAGUGGACAGAGGUCACCGAAUGCUUUGUUUGUUAAUAAAGUUCUGCAUUUUUACA